Magnolia sinica is the source of this 1661-nucleotide long non-coding RNA. RefSeq lists it as uncharacterized. Lineage: Eukaryota; Viridiplantae; Streptophyta; Magnoliopsida; Magnoliales; Magnoliaceae. The record is from RefSeq and is a predicted model, not a curated record. The transcript is spliced from 3 exons.
AGGUAGUGGGACCUUCACCCUACGAUGUUGAAUGUUAUCAAAAUUGUUCUUCCUCUACGGUUUAAUAUCAUGCACGCAUUACAUGAUGAUGAUGACUACAACCAUGGUGUUAGGAAACAAGAUAUGGUGGGAUAUCUUCUGGGAUAUUAGGAUCUAUUUCUCUUUGAAUAUAUUAGGAUUUGUUUCUCAGGAAUUGCACUUGUUCCAGGUUUGCAUAGUUUUUUGUGCAUGAACACAAAAUUGUGUGGUGACCAAGAUAUUUGGUUUCAUUUAUUUGAUACUUUACCCGGCUUCACAUUUAUGAAAUAUUUGAUACAUCAAUAAAACAAAAUAAAUGAUAAUGCAUCUAUUUUCUAUUGGACCAGUUUGUCCAUUAUAGAAUAGUGAUCGUGUUCAUGUUUUAGAUCUUGUGUUUUUUGGUUUUCUUUUUCAAUCUUGUGAUUCUGCUACCAAUUCAAAUUACCUUUUGGAUGUACUUUUCUGGUGUAUAGGAUUCUAUCAAUCUGGUGACCAUUCUCUACUGUUUAUAUAGGUUAUGCACAAGCACCAGAAGUAUUUUAUGUGAGUAUUGAAGGUGGUUGGAUUCGGUAUUAGAUUGUAAAAAUAAUGGGUUUUUAGCAUAGAGUAAAAAUUCUGUCUGAAAACUUUAUGUUCUAUGGCAAUUUGUUAGAAAUGUGAAAUAAGCUCUGAAAUCACAUCCUGAUUUUAUCGGUGUUGUAGUGCUUCUUCAAGCCAGAUGGUAAGGUAGAGCUGGUAGAACUAGAAUAUGGUGGAGCCAUCUCUCCAUAGUGCACAUUGCAGGGCCACGGAGCAGAUGGGUAUCCAAUCUAAGUGUAGUUUGAAAUCAUCCAAUCACCCUGCCAUGUUUACUGUGCAAAUCUACCAGCACACAUCUAAUUCUUUAAUUACGGACUAAUAAAGAAGCUAUUCUUCUUUAGAUAGGUGAACACUACGCUACAUGCUAUUUGAUAUUUAAACACUACUGUAGAUCUACCAUGGUCUGAGCUCUAGACCUAGAUAUUUAAACAUUGUUUACGUUUCUUUAACUUGAUCUUACUGACCAUAAAGUAUUUGUGGUUGCCUUGAUUCAUGUUAAUCUUGUAACAAAUGGCUUCUAUUUUGUGAAAAAGUGCUUGCAUUUAAGUCUAUUGUGCCUAUGAUAUUACAGGAUUCCUUAUAUCACAAUUUUUCCAAGGAGGAACUGAUGUGAGUUCAUGAAUAUAAUUUUGACUAUCCUGGUAAUGUCUACCUUUUCCUAAAGUUGGAGAAACAAAUAUUCAUGUAGAAUAUCUAAAAUAUGCAUGUCAUGUUGUAGUGGUAUUUUGAGUCAAAAUUCUGGCACCUGUUUGCUAAUUAUGUUGUGUAUUAAUCAGUGGGAGGAUCCUUAUAAAUUGUUUGGCAGGUCAAUCUUUCAGAUGUAAUAAUUUUGGAAGGGAUACUUUUUUCAUAUUGUUUCCAAAAAUGUUGUGAUCUAGUCUAGUUACUCAUGUAUAUGAACCAUGCAACAAAGUGGUAGCUGUAAAAGCUAAAAGACCAUCUUUACGUGCAUGAAAUCCACCCUCUCCAUAAGGUACAAUACCCCUUUUCUUGACUUGAUACCAACUCUCGAUCAACAUAUGUUUCUUACCAAACUAAUUUCUUCGUCAAAUCUACUUGUAAUU